GUUUUCUUUCAAGUCAGCGUCGUCUGGUAAAUCAAGCACGCCGCUGGGCACAAGCUAUAAAACGUAUUACAGGUGUUCUCUACCAUGAAUCUAUUAUCUUAUUUGUGGUAAACGAGGGCAUUAUCAGGAACACAAGUGGUGUGGAGGUAGGACAAUGUGCAUUUUCGUCUCGGGAAAAAAAAUGAAGUAGAAGUAGGAAUUCUGCCAUGGUCAACUAAGAGCUGUGGUGGAAGAAGAUUCUAAGAAAGGAAAAGCAGCAAACGAAUCCCUUCUGCUAUUGGCGUAACCAGGAGAGGGGGUUCCCCUUUCCCAUGGAACAGAAAGUUUCAGGAG
Dermacentor silvarum is the source of this 333-nucleotide long non-coding RNA. RefSeq lists it as uncharacterized. The transcript has 3 exons. The record is from RefSeq and is a predicted model, not a curated record. Lineage: Eukaryota; Metazoa; Arthropoda; Arachnida; Ixodida; Ixodidae.